Molecule: long non-coding RNA, 1197 nt
Organism: Nothobranchius furzeri (turquoise killifish)
Lineage: Eukaryota; Metazoa; Chordata; Actinopteri; Cyprinodontiformes; Nothobranchiidae
Source: RefSeq, a predicted model, not a curated record
GCCCAACUUUGAGCGCCACUGGCCUCACUCCAAGCUAUAGUCUACUCCGCCAAGCGCGAGGCACUCACUAACUAACCCUAAAUAGGCUCCACCGAUCCGGGGACUCGGUUAUUCCGCCAGUAAAGUGACCGCUUCGGACAGCAGGGAGCUCAGUGGGCGUCUCUGAACGCCAUGUUGAGGAGAACCUGAGCUGCAACGUUUAACUGAUGCACAUACAAGCCUUGAGUCUGGGUCAGAACCGGGCUUUCUGCUGUCCCCGUCCGCUCCACACGCAUCAUUAAAGGAGGAAACCAGAGAGACGGUGCUGCUUUCUCCUCACAACACUGCAGGACGACACCCUGCUGCAUCUGAUCAGAAAAUGGCGGUGUGUGCCCUUCUGCACACAUGCCAGGAAAUGUUGCUACAGCAGCAGAUAACCACUUCAUUCAUGCUGCAGAAACUCUCCACAGACGUCUCAGUUUAUCCUAAAUUAUGGGCCAUCUUUAAAAGAAACCCUCGAAUAAAAUGCAGAAAGAAAAAGGAAAAAAUCUGCACAUUGACUCCGUUUCUCGUCACGUUUAAACAAAUUAGAAAGUCCUAGGAAAAAACGCUCCAAACUCCCAUCUGAAGUGGCUCACGUGAGCCUGAAUGUUUAGUUAAAUCUUCCAGUAUUUUCUAGAACGAAUCUGAUGUUUUAUUUUGUUUUUAAAGCUUUAAAAGAGCCGAAAAACAGCAACCGCCAUUGUUGUGAUGCAACAAGUUCGGUCUAUUUAAAUAGUUUUUAAUAAUUAAAUUCCCAUCAUUCCUCGCAGUGGAUCACGUGCAUUAAAAUAAUUUCGAUAUUUAGGUUCAAUUUAUUUGACGUGAAUUAAGCAGAACUCUUAUUUUGAUGUGGAUCUGUGAGUUUUUGUCACGUUCUGUGUGUUUUGGCGCAGAUUUGCACGUUUGUGCUGCACCAAAGUUGACAGAAUGUGUGUUUUCACGCAGGUUUGCGUAGAUUUCUGCAGACUUUCAGCCUCAGCUUGCAGCCUUGUGUUGUUUUUUUAGCCCUGUUGGGAGUUUUUUUUAAUUCAGAUCUUCGGAACAACUUGUCCCCCAGCUUGUCUGAAACAAGGAGUUCAUCUUCCUAUUAAACCUGAGGUGAAUGUGACGUUUCCCCCUUUUUCCUGUUUAUGGUGAAAUAAAAUGCAUGACGUGUUAAACACGCAUUGAUCUGCA